Molecule: microRNA precursor, 89 nt
Organism: Choloepus hoffmanni (Hoffmann's two-fingered sloth)
Lineage: Eukaryota; Metazoa; Chordata; Mammalia; Pilosa; Megalonychidae
Source: Ensembl
CUGAUGGCUGCGCUCAACAUUCAUUGCUGUCGGUGGGUUUGCAUCUGAAUCAACUCACUGAUCAAUGAAUGCAAACUGCAGACCAAAAA